This 887-nucleotide ribosomal RNA is filed under the name Roccella montagnei. RNAcentral describes it as "LSU rRNA". It matches the Rfam family "Eukaryotic large subunit ribosomal RNA", at positions 40 to 943 of the family's 3401-position model. The record is from RNAcentral. Lineage: Eukaryota; Fungi; Ascomycota; Arthoniomycetes; Arthoniales; Roccellaceae.
AUAUCAAUAAGCGGAGGAAAAGAAACCAACAGGGAUUGCCCCAGUAACGGCGAGUGAAGCGGCAACAGCUCAAAUUUGAAAUCUGGCCCCCUCGGGGUCCGAGUUGUAAUUUGCAGAGGAAGUUUCGGCGUCGGCCCCGGGUCAAGUCCCCUGGAACGGGGCGCCCUAGAGGGUGAGAGCCCCGUACCCGCCCGGGCGCGCCUCGCCGUGUGAAGCUCCUUCGACGAGUCGAGUUGUUUGGGAAUGCAGCUCUAAGUGGGAGGUAUAUUUCUUCUAAAGCUAAAUACCGGCCAGAGACCGAUAGCGCACAAGUAGAGUGAUCGAAAGAUGAAAAGCACUUUGGAAAGAGAGUUAAAAAGCACGUGAAAUUGUUGAAAGGGAAGCUCUUGCCGCCAGACUUGCCGCGGUCGCUCAGCCGCCCCCCCGGGGCGGUGUACUCUUCCGUCGGCAGGCCAGCGUCGGUUCGGGCGGCCGGAUAAAGGCCUCGGGAAUGUAGCACCCUCCGGGGUGUGUUAUAGCCCGGGGCGCCAUGCGGUCAGCCCGGUCCGAGGCACGCGUUCGCGAGGACGCUGGCGUAAUGGCCGCAAGCGACCCGUCUUGAAACACGGACCAAGGAGUCUAACAUCUGUGCGAGUGUUUGGGUCUCACACCCAUGCGCGCAAUGAAAGUGAACGGAGGUGGGAACCCCCUCGAGGGGCGCACCAUCGACCGAUCCUGAUGUCUUCGGAUGGAUUUGAGUAAGAGCAUAGCUGUUGGGACCCGAAAGAUGGUGAACUAUUCCCGGAUAGGGUGAAGCCAGAGGAAACUCUGGUGGAGGCUCGCAGCGGUUCUGACGUGCAAAUCGAUCGUCAAAUCUAGGAAUAGGGGCGAAAGACUAAUCGAACCAU